CCUUAUCGAGAGAGGCAGAGGGACUGGCCCUGCGAAGCCCGGCAACCUUAUAUAAGUAAGGUGCUAAAUCCUGCGGAAUUUCCGAAAGAUAAGG
RNAcentral lists this non-coding RNA (94 nucleotides) under bovine gut metagenome. RNAcentral's name for it is "SAM riboswitch (S box leader)". It matches the Rfam family "SAM riboswitch aptamer (S box leader)". Rfam says of the family: The SAM riboswitch is found upstream of a number of genes which code for proteins involved in methionine or cysteine biosynthesis in Gram-positive bacteria. The SAM riboswitch acts at the level of transcription termination control. The record is from RNAcentral.